CCUACGGGUGGCAGCAGUGAGGAAUAUUGGUCAAUGGACGAGAGUCUGAACCAGCCAAGUAGCGUGAAGGAUGACUGCCCUAUGGGUUGUAAACUUCUGUUAUAGGGGAAUAAAAUGUUCCACGUGUGGGAUUUUGUAUGUACCAUAUGAAUAAGGAUCGGCUAACUCCGUGCCAGCAGCCGCGGUAAUACGGAGGCUCCGAGCGUUCUCCGGAUUUAUUGGGUUUAAAGGGAGCGUAGGUGGAUUGUUAAGUCAGUUGUGAAAGUUUGCGGCUCAACCGUAAAAUUGCCGUUGAAACUGGCAUUCUUGCGUACCGUAGAGGUGGGCGGACUUCGUGGUGUAGCCG
This 346-nucleotide ribosomal RNA is filed under the name uncultured bacterium. RNAcentral's name for it is "partial 16S ribosomal RNA". It matches the Rfam family "Bacterial small subunit ribosomal RNA", at positions 338 to 681 of the family's 1533-position model. The record is from RNAcentral.